This 483-nucleotide ribosomal RNA is filed under the name uncultured bacterium. Its description in RNAcentral is "partial 16S ribosomal RNA". It matches the Rfam family "Bacterial small subunit ribosomal RNA", at positions 30 to 507 of the family's 1533-position model. The record is from RNAcentral.
UUGAACGCUGGCGGCAGGCCUAACACAUGCAAGUCGAGCGGAUGAAGGGAGCUUGCUCCUGGAUUCAGCGGCGGACGGGUGAGUAAUGCCUAGGAAUCUGCCUGGUAGUGGGGGAUAACGUCCGGAAACGGGCGCUAAUACCGCAUACGUCCUGAGGGAGAAAGUGGGGGAUCUUCGGACCUCACGCUAUCAGAUGAGCCUAGGUCGGAUUAGCUAGUUGGUGGGGUAAAGGCCUACCAAGGCGACGACCCGUAACUGGUCUGAGAGGAUGAUCAGUCACACUGGAACUGAGACACGGUCCAGACUCCUACGGGAGGCAGCAGUGGGGAAUAUUGGACAAUGGGCGAAAGCCUGAUCCAGCCAUGCCGCGUGUGUGAAGAAGGUCUUCGGAUUGUAAAGCACUUUAAGUUGGGAGGAAGGGCAGUAAGUUAAUACCUUGCUGUUUUGACGUUACCAACAGAAUAAGCACCGGCUAACUUCGUG